ACCGGCGCACGGGUGCGUAACGCGUAUGCAAUCUACCUUUUACAGAGGGAUAGCCCAGAGAAAUUUGGAUUAAUACCUCAUAGUAUGUGAGAAUCGCAUGGUUUUCACAUUAAAGUCACAACGGUAAAAGAUGAGCAUGCGUCCCAUUAGCUUGUUGGUAAGGUAACGGCUUACCAAGGCAACGAUGGGUAGGGGUCCUGAGAGGGAGAUCCCCCACACUGGUACUGAGACACGGACCAGACUCCUACGGGAGGCAGCAGUGAGGAAUAUUGGACAAUGGGCGCAAGCCUGAUCCAGCCAUGCCGCGUGCAGGAUGACGGUCCUAUGGAUUGUAAACUGCUUUUGUACAGGAAGAAACACUCCCUCGUGAGGGAGCUUGACGGUACUGUAAGAAUAAGGAUCGGCUAACUCCGUGCCAGCAGCCGCGGUAAUACGGAGGAUCCAAGCGUUAUCCGGAAUCAUUGGGUUUAAAGGGUCCGUAGGCGGUUUAAUAAGUCAGUGGUGAAAGCCCAUCGCUCAACGGUGGAACGGCCAUUGAUACUGUUAAACUUGAAUUAUUAGGAAGUAACUAGAAUAUGUAGUGUAGCGGUGAAAUGCUUAGAGAUUACAUGGAAUACCAAUUGCGAAGGCAGGUUACUACUAAUGGAUUGACGCUGAUGGACGAAAGCGUGNGUAGCGAACAGGAUUAGAUACCCUGGUAGUCCACGCCGUAAACGAUGGAUACUAGC
RNAcentral lists this ribosomal RNA (728 nucleotides) under uncultured bacterium. RNAcentral's name for it is "bacterial SSU rRNA". It matches the Rfam family "Bacterial small subunit ribosomal RNA", at positions 94 to 820 of the family's 1533-position model. The record is from RNAcentral.